This 30-nucleotide non-coding RNA is filed under the name Rattus norvegicus (Norway rat). The record is from RNAcentral. Lineage: Eukaryota; Metazoa; Chordata; Mammalia; Rodentia; Muridae.
UCAAGGACUCACUGCUUCCUUUGGCCAAGG